UCUGGUAAUAAUGGCGGAGGGGUUCCACGCGUACCCAUCCCGAACACGACCGUUAAGCCCUCCAGCGCCAAUGGUACUUGGACCGCAGGGUCCUGGGAGAGUAGGACGUUGCCAGGC
This 117-nucleotide ribosomal RNA is filed under the name Cohnella luojiensis. The record is from RNAcentral. Lineage: Bacteria; Bacillati; Bacillota; Bacilli; Caryophanales; Paenibacillaceae. RNAcentral also lists the same sequence under 3 other names.